RNAcentral lists this ribosomal RNA (412 nucleotides) under uncultured Flavobacterium sp. RNAcentral's name for it is "bacterial SSU rRNA". It matches the Rfam family "Bacterial small subunit ribosomal RNA", at positions 145 to 555 of the family's 1533-position model. The record is from RNAcentral. Lineage: Bacteria; Pseudomonadati; Bacteroidota; Flavobacteriia; Flavobacteriales; Flavobacteriaceae.
AGCCCAGAGAAAUUUGGAUUAAUACCUCAUAGUAUGUGAGAAUCGCAUGGUUUUCACAUUAAAGUCACAACGGUAAAAGAUGAGCAUGCGUCCCAUUAGCUUGUUGGUAAGGUAACGGCUUACCAAGGCAACGAUGGGUAGGGGUCCUGAGAGGGAGAUCCCCCACACUGGUACUGAGACACGGACCAGACUCCUACGGGAGGCAGCAGUGAGGAAUAUUGGACAAUGGGCGCAAGCCUGAUCCAGCCAUGCCGCGUGCAGGAUGACGGUCCUAUGGAUUGUAAACUGCUUUUGUACAGGAAGAAACACUCCCUCGUGAGGGAGCUUGACGGUACUGUAAGAAUAAGGAUCGGCUAACUCCGUGCCAGCAGCCGCGGUAAUACGGAGGAUCCAAGCGUUAUCCGGAAUCAUU